AUUCGAUGAAACAAAACAAUAUCCAUAUUGUUACAGAACCAGGCUGGAUCGCUGGCGGAAAAACCAAGCGGCACUCAGAGAUGUUGGCGCAUCGGCGUUUUAUUUUACACCAGUGGGCUCAGAGAAGAUCCUUCUCCAGAGAUCUGAGUCCCGAACGCAACCCCUGGACAAUUUUGUAGAAGACAGAUUAAUUCAAGCUGCAACUAUACAUUUGGUCUUCAAAUAGUUCAGUUAAACAACCAGAAAAAUCUGCAUGAAAGAUAAAUUUGAGCAAGAAAAGAUUGCUUUGCUCUGGGGGAAUUCAGCUGCCACAUAAUGAGGCAGCUCCGUAGAAAAGCUCAUAUAACAAGGAAUUAAGGACUGACAGCAGCCAUAUGUAUUACCUUAGAAGUGGAUUCUCUCUGUCAAGCCUUGCGAUGAGCAAAGCCACAAAUCACCUUGACGCCUUGACUGUCCUGAGCCAGAACUAUCUCACUAAGUCAUUGCUGUAUUCCCCACCUUAAGAAACUGUGAGAUAAUAAAUUUUUAUUUUCAACUUCUGAGUAUUUGUUAUACAGCAAUAAAUAACUAAUAAACCUAACAUAUAAUCUAGAAAUUCCACUCUUGUGUAUUUCUCCAGGAGAAGUAAAAAACAUUUCUGCACAAACAUGUACGUGGGUAUUCAUUGUUCCCAACAGCCCCAAAAUGGAAAAAUGCAAAUGUCCAUCAACAGGUGAAGGGAUAAACUAGUAUACAUCAGAGUUACUCAGAAGGUCUGUUAAAGAACAGCCUGCUAGGCUCUACCCUCAGAGUUUCUAACUCAAUAGGUCUGGUAUACGGUCUGAGAAUUUGCAUUUGUAACAAUUUGCCAGGUGAUGCUAGUGCUGCUGGUCUUUGACCACACUUUGAGAACCACCAGAUUAGUCUACAAUUUGAAUGUCUAUGGUAUUCUGUGCUGUAUAACAUCUUUUAGUACCGAGUAGAUCCAAAGGACACUACCAGGUUUAUGAAGGGAAUAAAAUUCUUAUA
Long non-coding RNA from Acinonyx jubatus (cheetah), 1008 nucleotides. RefSeq lists it as uncharacterized. The transcript has 3 exons. NCBI's taxonomy places the organism in Eukaryota, Metazoa, Chordata, Mammalia, Carnivora, Felidae. The record is from RefSeq and is a predicted model, not a curated record.